CCCCUAGAUGUUCUGGGCCGCACGCGCGCUACACUGAACAGUUCAACAAGUCUUAACCUUGGCCGAUAGGUCUGGGUAAUCUUUGAACGCUGUUCGUGAUUGGGAUAGACCUUUGCAAUUUUUGGUCUUCAACGAGGAAUUCCUAGUAAACGCAAGUCAUCAACUUGCAUUGAUUACGUCCCUGCCCUUUGUACACACCGCCCGUCGCACCUACCGAUUGAAUGGUCCGGUGAAGCCUCCGGAUUGGCGCGCACCUCGGUGCCGCCGAGAAGUUGGCUAAACCUUACCAUUUAGAGGAAGGUGAAGUCGUANCA
This 314-nucleotide ribosomal RNA is filed under the name uncultured eukaryote. RNAcentral's name for it is "partial 18S ribosomal RNA". It matches the Rfam family "Eukaryotic small subunit ribosomal RNA", at positions 1470 to 1796 of the family's 1831-position model. The record is from RNAcentral.